RNAcentral lists this non-coding RNA (27 nucleotides) under Mus musculus (house mouse). Lineage: Eukaryota; Metazoa; Chordata; Mammalia; Rodentia; Muridae. The record is from RNAcentral.
CUGAAGAAUAAACCCCCUUGGUUGACC